GAUAAACGCUGGCGGCGCACAUAAGACAUGCAAGUUGAACGGACUUAAUCGAAAUAUUUAUAUUUUGAAGCGGUUAGUGGCGGACUGGUGAGUAACGCGUAAGGAACCUGCCUAUUAGAGGGGAAUAACAGUGAGAAAUCAUUGCUAAUACCGCAUAUGCCAUAGAUAUCACAUGAUAACAGUGGGAAAGGAGCAAUCCGCUAAUAGAUGGCCUUGCGUCUGAUUAGAUAGUUGGUGGGGUAACGGCCUACCAAGUCGACGAUCAGUAGCCGGACUGAGAGGUUGAACGGCCACAUUGGGACUGAGAUACGGCCCAGACUCCUACGGGAGGCAGCAGUCGGGAAUAUUGCGCAAUGGAGGAAACUCUGACGCAGUGACGCCGCGUAGAGGAAGAAGGUUUUCGGAUUGGAAACUAUUGUCGUUAGGGAAGAGAAAGGACAGUACCUAAGGAGGAAGCUCCGGCUAACUACGUG
RNAcentral lists this ribosomal RNA (473 nucleotides) under uncultured bacterium. RNAcentral's name for it is "partial 16S ribosomal RNA". It matches the Rfam family "Bacterial small subunit ribosomal RNA", at positions 28 to 507 of the family's 1533-position model. The record is from RNAcentral.